GUGGUGGUGGUGGUGUGUGGGGAGGAGGUGAUGACCCUUGGCGGCCAAGGCAAGGUCAUGAGGAAAACAACUGGGAGAAAGCGGUUACACCUAGUCCGAGGUAAAGUUCAGUGGGUGUUUUCCGUUAGAGUUGUCCCGUUUUAAUGACCAACAGAUACUAUCCCUAUCUGGCACAACAGUGAAUUCUGCGGAUUCAUGUUUUUGCAUAUAUUACUAACUCUGUAGUAGAGCCCUUCCCAGCAUUUCACAGAGUCCCUAGGUUCAAUCCUCAAUACUGGAAAAACAAAGCAACAGCAACAAAAUGUUCUCCCUAAGGGUCAGAUGUGGUGUCACAGGCCCUUAAUUCACGAUUUGGAAGGCAGAGGCAGAUGGACGUGUGUGCGUUCAAGGCUAACCCAGUCUACAGAGUGAAUUCCGGAACCAGAAACCCAGAACCAGGGGUAGAGAACAGCAACCUGGAAGCCGCAUAUGCCUCCAUGUGACAAAGAGCCGCCCGAGGGGUUGCAGCGUUUGGCAACUGCUUGCACUCUUAAGCACUGUGCUGCAAGGGGGAUUUAAAAACGACUCAGAAAAGAGCAAACCAGCAAUAGAAGCCCUAACUAGGACAAAUUGGUUCUAGUGUAGUGGAGUAUUGCUGUGAGAGACCUGACCAUGUUUUUGGGAGGAUGUGGAAGGACUAUCAAACUUUGGGCUAGAAGAGCCAUUGAGUGUUAAGAACUCUGUGGGAUCUCUGGUGGGAACGUGGAGUAUUGAGAGCCAUGCAGAAGAUGGAGGCCUGUCUUGUGAGAUCUCAGAGGGAAGUUUAAAGACUCUAUUGGAGCCAUUUGUUAUUUUGAAUUAAGAUCCUGUGGUUCUGUCAGUGGGGGCUGAAGAAUCAGCUGUGAUUAACAAGAUACCAGAACUACUAAAGUAAACCUUUGCUUUAUUGGGAUACUCGAUGCUGGUCGGCUGGAGCAGAAAUCAGUGGUGAUUAAGAAGAGACAAGCGUCCCUGAGGUGGAAUCUUUUGGGAAAUGUUACCUGAGAGCACAGAAAAGCUGUGAUCCGGAGGUGGCCAAGGUUGUACCUCGUGCUGGCAGCUGGACUUGGUGAUGUGUAAAUGUCACCCAGGUGGUACUGAUUUUGAAGGCAUGAGGUGUCAUGGAGCGCAGCUGGGGCUUGUUAUUAUGAGAGUCCAGGAAAGGCCAUUGGUGAAGGUGCAGCCUCAGUGACAGUUGAAGGCCAGGACUGAAGGGGUCAUGCAAAGAAGUUGAGGCUUGGCACUAUGAAGAGAGCCUGUGAGAGGCUAUUGGUGAAAAUGCAGCACAGUUGCAGCAGAAGAAUCCAGCAUUUCAGAUACUAUGGGUAUGACCACCAAGAACAGCAGCAGCCAUGGAGUAGAGCCAGCCAGAUCCCAGAAGAAAAGCUUUGUGUGCUGCAGAGGGCAGAGCUGGAGAAGUGACUUCAGAAUCCCUAACUAAGACACUGAGGUUCACAAGGACAGGCGUUUUGUCUUCUGUUUACUAGUGCUGUGUGUGCUUUUUUUCUUUUUCUUCCUCUUUCCCUCUGUCUCUCCCCCCCCCCCCCCCUUUUUUCUUUUUGACAUGGUCUCACUAUGUAACACUAGCUGAUCUAAACUUGCUAGGUAGACCAGGCUGGACUCGAAAAUAUAGAUACCCUCCUGCCUCAGCCUCCCAAGUGCUAGUAUUAAAGGGAUAUGCCAUCACAUUUUACCAGUGCUAUAUUUUUACCGUAUAACAGUUCCAGGUACAGAGCUGCUCAAAACAUUUGUUAGCAUAGUGAUUUUAGUGGAAGCCCACAGAAUUUCCUGAGGAAUGGAUGAAGUAUCCACUUCACUUCCGAGUUGCUGGUACAGCUCCAAGUACUCUUGUUAACUAGAAGAGACCAUGUAUCUCAAUGGAGCUCCUUCACUGUGUUCUUUUUAAAUUGCCUUAGCCGCUCCUAAAAUAGCCUGCUCCCUCCCUGCCAAAAAGGUCUGUGGAUAAGCACUAGCAAGAAGCAGAAAGAGAGCACUAAUUCUCCCUUUCUUUUCAAGUACCUAACCUGAAGUGGCAGCUAAAUUCAACCACCAAUUCUGCAGAGAGGUCUUAUCUGUGGAUCACACUGCUGUUCCCAUAGGCUUCCAGUGAUGACUCAGAACUUAUUGCCUCCAUUCUCCCAGCACUGCCUCCAGUUCUGGCCCAGGAGGCUUUAGUGGAUCAAAUGAGAAAUGUUCCCCAGAGGUUCAUAUAUUUGAACACUUGAUCCCUGGUUGGUGAAGUGUUUGGACUGGUGGAGGGUUGUUUGAUGAAGUGCAUUUCUAGGGGUGGCUUUGAGAGGUUAUAACGCCGCUCUCUUCCAGUUUGCCUCUCUGUUCCAUGUUGGCAGUUGAUAUGUGUCAAUUUCCUGCUCUUGCUGCCUCCACCUCCAGCAGAUGGCCUCACCUGGGACUGGAGGGUCCAUAGCUACUUUGCGCAUGGUGUGUAAUGAAAAGAACCAGUACAGCAGCUAACACCACCUCUGAGGGUAAGGUAGUCUACAAUAGUAGUCACUGUGGGGACUCCUCAAGGGCAGGCAAAGGCCACUGCACAACUGCAGGGGUCACUUCCAGACAGCAAUACCCUCAGAAUCCAUUCCUCUUUUCCUUCUAAUAUUUGUUUGUUUGUUUAUUUAGAGAUGGGGGUCUCACUUUGUAGUUCUAGCUGACCU
Molecule: non-coding RNA, 2687 nt
Organism: Myodes glareolus (Bank vole)
Lineage: Eukaryota; Metazoa; Chordata; Mammalia; Rodentia; Cricetidae
Source: RefSeq, a predicted model, not a curated record